GAGCACGUAGGUGGGUUUGUAAGUCAGAUGUGAAAGCCUUCUGUUCAACGGGAGAAUUGCAUCUGAAACUACAGACCUUGAGUAUAGGAGGGGAGAAUGGAACUUCUGGUGGAGCGGUGAAAUGCGUAGAUAUCAGAAGGAACGCCGGCGGCGAAAGCGAUUCUCUGGCCUAUUACUGACACUCAGUGUGCGAAAGCUAGGGGAGCAAACGGGAUUAGAUACCCCGGUAGUCCUAGCCGUAAACGAUGGGCACUAAGUAGAGGGGUUUU
RNAcentral lists this ribosomal RNA (269 nucleotides) under uncultured bacterium. Its description in RNAcentral is "partial 16S ribosomal RNA". It matches the Rfam family "Bacterial small subunit ribosomal RNA", at positions 565 to 832 of the family's 1533-position model. The record is from RNAcentral. RNAcentral also lists the same sequence under 2 other names.